GAGGUAGCAGAUGGAAUUAAGGUGGCUCAUCAGUUAACCUUGAGAUGGGGAUGGCUUUCUGGAUUAUCCAGGUGGGCCUGAUGUAAUCACAAGCAUCCUUAUAGAUAAGUGAGGGAGCAGGAAGUCAAAGGGGCAGCCUCUAGAAGCUCAAAAAGGCAAGAAGAUGGAAUUUCCUCUUAGAGUCUCCAGAAAGGAAUGCAGCCCUACCAACGCCUGGACUUUAGCCAAGUGAUGCUCAUUUUGGACUUCUGCCCUCCAGAACUAAAAACCCAAAAAACUUGGCAGUGCCUGUGGUGGUUGUGGUCUCAACAUUUCCUUCAGAUCUUGAUCAGAUUUCAUUUGAGUAGCUUUUCAGAGCUACAGAUCCCUUUCUUCAAGUACACUGGGCCUGGAGAUCUUUGGAAAUGAACCUUGGCCCCAGAAUCUUCUACUUAAAAGUUCGCAAUCCUUUAUCCAUUCUGGUAACUUUGCCGUCCGUCUUGACGACUUGUCCUAGGAUUCUGCUUCUCUGCUGAGCCCCCUCUGAUGGAAUCUUCAGUGGUUCUUCAACUGUGUUUUGCCGAAAAUCCAGAACAUGAGGUGGUCCUGCAGGAAGCAAUGACAUUUCUCUUUCAAGGUCAAUACCUCAUGGGGAAAAGCAUUUAUUACUACAGUUGCCAAAAAAAAAAAAAAAAGAACAUGAGAAUCUCUCAUGCAUUUUCAACAAUUGAAACUUUUUCUGAUUCCUGCUGUCUUUAUUUUUUCAAGUAUUCAGUGAAGAUAUGCCCAAAUCCACUACACAUGCAAUGCGUUCCGAGUACAUAUUUCCUUGUCAGAGCAUUACUAAGUGGUAUGCCUGUGCCCAACUGCUUCACAAAUUGGUUUUUUGAGUCUAGGCUGGAGUCCAGCUAGUCAUCACAAAGUAGCAAAUAGAUGAAUGUCUUAGACGUUUCUCCUAUAUCUUUUGUAGAUCAGAAUUAUUUGAUUUUCCCAGGAAGUAUACUGUGGGACUGUGAGAGUCUGCUGGGACUCUCUCCUGUCAGCAGUAGUGUUCAAUCUGAAGAAGUUGCCAGCAGUGGCAUUUUAUUUGUAGAUCCUAAAACAAGGUACAUUGGUAUAAAUGCUGUAACUGGUAUUUAGACCUGUCAUAUAUUAAAUAUUUUAAUGACAAUACUAGUUUUUAGCAAUAAUUUCCACAUGGAGAAGUUACAUCAUUUAUUUUCACUUUUAAGUUGUUUGUACAACUGUGAGGAUGAAUUUAAACUUAGACAUACAGUGGCGUUCUGUGAUAGAGGUCUUCAUGGCUAAGCCACGUAGCAUGACCUCCACAAAUCCAAAUCACAGUCCUCCUCACCCCCAUAUGCUGACAUUUGGCAAGCCAGCUGGUCUAGCUUGUUCUUGGAAACCCAUAUUGUCUUUUGUGUCCUCCCAGAUGUUCCUAGCAGAUAAUUGCCAAAAGUUGCCCAAAUAAAAAUGGGAGCAUAAGAGAGACAUUUAAGAUCUUACCUAGAAACUUUAGUAGAAGGUUACUUUUACAUUUUCAACACGGUCAUUUCUAAGAUGAUGUAGUCAUUAGACAUUUGAAGAAUUACAGCAUGGUAUCAGUAAAUGGUCACUAGCAUUUUUUGUAUUUAAGAAUAACUCACUCUGGGUGAGUGGACUGACCUUGGAAUGUGUAAUGUAGUUGUACAGUGUUCCGCUGGUUUUCAGUGGCUGCAUUUCCAAGAGCUAUACUUCUGAAGAUAAAUGCGAACAUAUGGCAAUAGGUUACAACUCAUUAUCUAUUUUCUUUUCACAAACUAGAAUGACCUUAGGAAAAUGCCCUUAAUUAUGUGAGAGUUACCAAACUCCUCCCCAAGAUUUUCUACAGAAAAUUCCUGUAUCAUUAAUAGGACAUUUGGUGGCUUCAUUAAGAAUUUGCAUCAAUGUGCUAGUUAAAAAUUUGUUAAAUACAAAAACUAAAAGAAAUGUACUCAUUGUCUCUUUAAAAAAAUAAGGUAUUGAAUUAUUAGUUAUUAGUAUUGUAUUUGUACACAAAAAAGUUCACCCUUUAAGUGUACGCAACUAUAUAUAGUUGAUAUUAGGAGAUGUUUCAAACUAAACGAAAAUAAAAACAAAGGGCAUAAACUAUAAAUGAAAAAUAUUACAUAGUUUUAUAUGAUUAUAGUAUAUAAUAUAACAGGUACACAAUCAUAUAUACUUGGUGAGUUGUGACAAAUGUAUUCAGUUGUGUAAAUGCCACCACGGUUGUCAUGAGCUGAAUUUUGCCACCACCCCCAUUCCUAUGGUGAAAGCCUAACCCCCAGGAUCUCAGAAUGUGACAAUAUUUGAAGGUAGGGCCUUUAAAGAGGUAAUUAAGGUUAAAUGAGGCCAUAAGGGUGGGCCCUAAUCCAAUGACAAGUGUUCUUAUAAGAUGACAAAAGUUGGACAUACAGAGAGACACCAAAGAUGACUCGGCACAGAGGAAAGAGUCCAUGGAAAAGCAGCAAGAGAGUGGCCAUCCGUAAGCUAAAGAGGGAGGCCUCAGAUGACACCAACCCUGCCAGCAUCUUGAUCUUGGACUCCCAGCCUCCAGACCUGUGAGAGGACAAAUGUCUGUUGUUGAAGCCACCCAGUCUGCAGUAUUUUGGUACGGCGGCCCUGGCAGACUAAUGCACAGUCAUGAUAGGACGUUUCCAUUACUCCCUCAAGAGCCUCUCCUGCCCCUUUGCGUCCACGCUCCUCCCUCCUCUCUCAGCCCCUAGUAUUCACUGAUCUGACAACUCUCUCCCCUGCUUUGCCUUUUCCAGACCAGAAUGCCAUGUAAAUACAAUCAUACGGCAUGCAGCCUUUGGAGUUUGGCUUAUUUCACUUAGAAUAAAGCUUUGGCUGGUCACCUA
Molecule: long non-coding RNA, 2858 nt
Filed under: Equus caballus (horse)
Lineage: Eukaryota; Metazoa; Chordata; Mammalia; Perissodactyla; Equidae
Description: lncRNA (ENSECAG00000054597.1)
Source: RNAcentral